GCUGCGGCGGGCUCUGGCGG
RNAcentral lists this unclassified non-coding RNA (20 nucleotides) under Chlamydomonas reinhardtii. Its description in RNAcentral is "small RNA Cre_1790". Lineage: Eukaryota; Viridiplantae; Chlorophyta; Chlorophyceae; Chlamydomonadales; Chlamydomonadaceae. The record is from RNAcentral.